Molecule: ribosomal RNA, 101 nt
Filed under: uncultured bacterium
Lineage: Bacteria
Description: partial 16S ribosomal RNA
Source: RNAcentral
ACCUUCGGGUUUGUAAAGGCUCUUCAGACGGAAGAACGGUCACGGCCAACACCCGUGACUAAUGACGGUACGUCCAGAAGAAGCACCGGCUAACUACGUGC